RNAcentral lists this ribosomal RNA (464 nucleotides) under uncultured Klebsiella sp. Its description in RNAcentral is "bacterial SSU rRNA". It matches the Rfam family "Bacterial small subunit ribosomal RNA", at positions 338 to 795 of the family's 1533-position model. Lineage: Bacteria; Pseudomonadati; Pseudomonadota; Gammaproteobacteria; Enterobacterales; Enterobacteriaceae. The record is from RNAcentral.
CCUACGGGGGGCAGCAGUGGGGAAUAUUGCACAAUGGGCGCGAGCCUGAUGCAGCCAUGCCGCGUGUGUGAAGAAGGCCUUCGGGUUGUAAAGCACUUUCAGCGGGGAGGAAGGCGUUAAGGUUAAUAACCUUGGCGAUUGACGUUACCCGCAGAAGAAGCACCGGCUAACUCCGUGCCAGCAGCCGCGGUAAUACGGAGGGUGCAAGCGUUAAUCGGAAUUACUGGGCGUAAAGCGCACGCAGGCGGUCUGUCAAGUCGGAUGUGAAAUCCCCGGGCUCAACCUGGGAACUGCAUUCGAAACUGGCAGGCUAGAGUCUUGUAGAGGGGGGUAGAAUUCCAGGUGUAGCGGUGAAAUGCGUAGAGAUCUGGAGGAAUACCGGUGGCGAAGGCGGCCCCCUGGACAAAGACUGACGCUCAGGUGCGAAAGCGUGGGGAGCAAACAGGAUUAAUACCCCUGUAGUC